ACGCUCGACACCUACUGGAGGCAGCAGUGGGGAAUAUUGCACAAUGGGGGAAACCCGUGAUGCAGCGACGCCGCGUGAAGGAAGAAGUAUCUCGGUAUGUAAACUUCUAUCAGCAGGGAAGAAAGUGACGGUACCUGACUAAGAAGCCCCGGCUAACUACGUGCCUGCAGCCGCGGUAAUCUGAGCGGGCUGGCAAGGC
RNAcentral lists this ribosomal RNA (199 nucleotides) under uncultured bacterium. RNAcentral's name for it is "partial 16S ribosomal RNA". It matches the Rfam family "Bacterial small subunit ribosomal RNA", at positions 328 to 539 of the family's 1533-position model. The record is from RNAcentral.